CCGGCUAACUUCGUGCCAGCAGCCGCGGUAAUACGAAGGGACCUAGCGUAGUUCGGAAUUACUGGGCUUAAAGAGUUCGUAGGUGGUUAAAAAAGUUGGUGGUGAAAUCCCAGAGCUUAACUCUGGAACUGCCAUCAAAACUUUUUAGCUAGAGUAUGAUAGAGGAAAGCAGAAUUUCUAGUGUAGAGGUGAAAUUCGUAGAUAUUAGAAAGAAUACCAAUUGCGAAGGCAGCUUUCUGGAUCAUUACUGACACUGAGGAACGAAAGCAUGGGUAGCGAAGAGGAUUAGAUACCCUCGUAGUCCAUGCCGUAAACGAUGAAUACUGGGUCUUCGGGGAAUCGACCCCCUGUGGACCGAAGCUAACGCGUUAAGUAUUCCGCCUGGGGAGUACGGUCGCAAGACUAAAACUCAAAGGAAUUGACGGGGGCCCGCACAAGCAGCGGAGCGUGUGGUUUAAUUCGAUGGUAAACGAAGAACCUUACCUAGGUUUGACAUAUAAGUAGUACUGACCCGAAAGGUGAUGGACCCGCAAGGGAGCUUAUACAGGUGCUGCAUGGUUGUCGUCAGCUCGUGCCGUGAGGUGUUGGGUUAAGUCCCGCAACGAGCGCAACCCUCGUGGAUAGUUGUUUUCUUUAUCCAGACUGCUUUUACAAGAGGAAGGUGGGGAUGACGUCAAAUCAUCAUGGCUCUUACACCUAGGGCUACACACACGCUACAAUGGACAGUACAGACGGUUGCUAAGUCGCAAGAUGGAGCCAAUCCGAUAAAGCUGUCCCCAAUUGGGAUUGUAGGCUGAAACUCGCCUGCAUGAACCUGGAGUUGCUAGUAACCGCAGAUCAGAAUGCUGCGGUGAAUACGUUCCCGGGCCUUGUACACACCGCCCGUCACGUCAUGGAAGUUUGAAACACUUGAAGUCGUUGGGCUUACCUUUUAGGAGGCAGGCGCCGAGAGUGGGGCAAAUGACUGGGACGAAGUCGUAACAAGGUAGCUGUACCGGAAGGUGCGGCUG
RNAcentral lists this ribosomal RNA (1010 nucleotides) under metagenome. RNAcentral's name for it is "bacterial SSU rRNA". It matches the Rfam family "Bacterial small subunit ribosomal RNA", at positions 493 to 1520 of the family's 1533-position model. The record is from RNAcentral.